RNAcentral lists this long non-coding RNA (1530 nucleotides) under Homo sapiens (human). RNAcentral's name for it is "HSALNT0317133". The record is from RNAcentral. Lineage: Eukaryota; Metazoa; Chordata; Mammalia; Primates; Hominidae.
AGAGACAAACCCCAGGAGAGCCUGAGGUCCUCCAGAGGGAUAUUAGUGAGUGGCUUGUCUGAGCAAAAGCCAUUUCUACUCACCCCACAGUCGUUAGCUCCAUCUCCACACAUGCCCACAUAAUAACUGCGGGAGACAGGAGAAGAAGGAUUAAUAGGUCCAGUCUCUUGGUUCUCCACCAGCUGCCAGGUCACAGAGGCAGGAACAAAUUCUUCUGGUUCAUCGGCCUCAACAAUGAUCACUUGGCUGCCUGGAGGGAUCAUUUCAGAAUUCUUUGCAACAGUAAUGGCCGUUUGAAGGUUAUCACCUAGAAGACAAAGAAACUUUGCUUGCUGUAUGUACAAACCUCCCCUCAGCAACAAGAACUGAGGUCUCCCUUUUCCACUCUGCUUGGUGUUCUUUGAGAGCAUUUACCGCUUUCUGCCUUAUUUUAUCUUCCUCUCUGCUGUAGACUGCCCCUACUGGGCAAACACUAUGUUCCCAUCUCCCUCUCCAUAUUCUGCAUCAUAUCCUGGUCCAUGUGUAUUUCAAAACAUGUGUGAAUUAAUAAAGAAAUACUUAAGCAUUUAUGACCAAUCCUCAGAAGACAGACAACUCUUAGUGGAGAAUAUAGCAUGAUCUCAGCCUGAUAGCUUAAACCAUCCACGGGAUCUGGAAACUAACUAAGCAAAGAACACACAGGGUCAGGCUGUGCUUGGGUUUGACGAUCAUACACCAUGCCUGGCCCUACUGCCCUAGAGGACCAUCAACCAGAGACUCAAUCCUCUAUGCAGAGGGAUCACUGGGUUUCUUGAUGAGAACACACCCAUUCUUGCUCAUUUACUGUGAGCCUUGAGGCACCGCACAGAUCCUGGCUGGGAGGGGUAGUCAUUAGACAAAGAGGAUGAGAUACGGUCCCUACCUUCAAAGCUUCUGGUCCUGUCGGGGCAGCUGCACAUGUUUUUAGGUAAGGGACUACAGGGUAACAAAUUCGACAACAGAACAUUUUUCCCUGUCUCUGAUACAUGAACUCACUCAGCUCACACAUCUUGUUCUUAUGCCUAGGAUACAAUCAACUUGCCAGGCCCCUAGAAACAAAUACAUACCUGUAAUCAUCACAGUCCUGAUACGGGCCUCACUCAGUUCCUUCAAGACCAGUUUGGUUUCUUUUUUCAAGCGAUUCUCCAUGAUGAGAAGUCCCAGAAAUGUUAACUCUGACUCCACUUUUUCUCUUUGUAUUCAGGAGAAAAUCAAUAUUAAAGUAUAUCUACGUAGGCUCCAUAGUUCAAUUUAUUUCUUCUUUUAAAAAUUUAUAAGUUUUAUUAAUGCAAUACAGGCACAUUUUAAAAAUCAAAAUGAACUUAAAAGCUUAUAAUGAAAACCAGUAGUCUGUCUCCACACCACCUCACCCCUCUCCUUCCUAGAGGCAACCACUUCUAAAUCUGUUUUUUCCAGUUUCCAACUUUAUUUUUAAAAACAAUGUGCUUAUCUUCCAACUCUUCUGUUGGUUUUUAAAUAUGUUAAUCAAAUAUACUUUAUUUUUUAAUUUCU